CCCUUGUACACACCGCCCGUCACACCACGAGAGUGGUUAUAACCAGAAGUAGCCGAGCUAACCGCGAAGGAGGCAAGUUACCAAGGUUGUAGCCGUGAUUGGGGUG
RNAcentral lists this ribosomal RNA (106 nucleotides) under uncultured bacterium. RNAcentral's name for it is "partial 16S ribosomal RNA". It matches the Rfam family "Bacterial small subunit ribosomal RNA", at positions 1378 to 1482 of the family's 1533-position model. The record is from RNAcentral.